This is a long non-coding RNA of Oncorhynchus nerka (sockeye salmon), 403 nucleotides long. RefSeq lists it as uncharacterized. The transcript has 2 exons. NCBI's taxonomy places the organism in Eukaryota, Metazoa, Chordata, Actinopteri, Salmoniformes, Salmonidae. The record is from RefSeq and is a predicted model, not a curated record.
CGUUAAAGCGUGCGAUACAUUUUUAAAACCAGUGAUUUAAUUCAAAAUAUUUAGUACCUACAUUUUAACACAUGUUAUAAUUCCAAAUUAUGUGUCCGCUGUGCGGGGAAAAUGAUAAUACAAGCGGAACUACGUAGCUAAUACUGUUGUAACUGGGGAUCCUUAUUGUAGCAACACACUUUUGUAGGGAAGGCAAUCCUGCGCUGCGUUAGCUAAAUUUUCAUGUCAUCGGGUGUAGUUCAUAAAGGUUGAAGAGUGUAUGUUAGGAUGAAGUGUGAAUUCAUGCCAGGAAUAAUAAGUGUGAAGUUUGAUUUCCUCCCUUCUGUAAUAAGCAGCCAAUGAGUUCUCACUGAAGGGGAUAAUUCUCACUGAAACUACUGAAUAAAGCCGCCAGUUAAAAUCA